UACGAAGGGUGCAAGCGUUACUCGGAAUUACUGGGCGUAAAGCGUGCGUAGGUGGUUUGUUAAGUCUGAUGUGAAAGCCCUGGGCUCAACCUGGGAAUUGCAUUGGAUACUGGCAGGCUAGAGCGCGGUAGAGGAUGGCGGAAUACCCCAAGUAGAGGUGAAAUUCGUAGAUAUGGGGUGGAACACCGGUGGCGAAGGCGGCCAUCUGGACGACAACUGACGCUGAGACGCGAAAGCGUGGGGAGCAAACAGG
RNAcentral lists this ribosomal RNA (253 nucleotides) under uncultured bacterium. RNAcentral's name for it is "partial 16S ribosomal RNA". It matches the Rfam family "Bacterial small subunit ribosomal RNA", at positions 524 to 776 of the family's 1533-position model. The record is from RNAcentral.